AAGUCCCGAAGAUGAAGUUUGAGCAAACCUACACGUGAAACAAACUGUCUAUGGAAGCAACACGUUUCUGGAGCGUCGUCGAGAAAGAUGUGUGUCCAGUGCUGACAAUACAGAGGUUCCUGCAGGCCAUCCACAAGGGGAUAGUGGUGUGGCAGCCCCUUUUCGUCGGCCCGGACCUAUUGAUAUUUCACAGUCAAGAGCAGCAGGACCCACUCAACCCCGGUUAAAGAUAUAUCCAAAAACCAUGCAAGGAGAGAAGAGGAGGUCAUUCAAUCCAUCUUGGUACAACACGUUUUCAUGGCUUGAGUACUCACUUAUGAAAGACUGCGCUUACUGCUAUGCAUGCAGACACUUC
Gadus morhua (Atlantic cod) is the source of this 355-nucleotide long non-coding RNA. RefSeq lists it as uncharacterized. NCBI's taxonomy places the organism in Eukaryota, Metazoa, Chordata, Actinopteri, Gadiformes, Gadidae. The transcript is spliced from 3 exons. The record is from RefSeq and is a predicted model, not a curated record.